UGCACCACACAGGUAUUGAACCAGCACUCCUGACUGUUAGAAAUCAGUGCUUUAACCACUUGGCUAUGUGC
This 71-nucleotide transfer RNA is filed under the name Pomacea canaliculata. Its description in RNAcentral is "tRNA-OTHER". The record is from RNAcentral. Lineage: Eukaryota; Metazoa; Mollusca; Gastropoda; Architaenioglossa; Ampullariidae.